AAAAGAAGAAGAUGAAGAACUUUCCGGAUGAAUAACAGUGUGUUUCAAAAUUAAAAGCUGAUUUUCCAAAAGUGGUGGUCGGCAAAAUUUCCUAUCACAAGCUGCCUGUUUUGUCCCACGUUGUCACUGUGACAGCUCACUCGCAAAAGAUGGCACUCGAUAGUUUCCACCAGUGGAUUUAUAGAGCUCAGAACUUAAGUCCGCAUUGUUUGGCGGCAAAAUCUGGGCCACAUGUGAUAACAGUAUUAUCCCUCUGUACAGUAAGCGUGCCGACACUCAUGCAACUGUCUGUCAUCCGGGGCCCGAACGAUGCAAAAUAGCUGGCGGCUGUGGGUGUGUGAUAGACCUCCAGCUUUAACUCUGCACGGGGAGAGCGUGUGGGCACGUAUCACUCCGACCCAAACACACUUUUCCUGCUGACUGCUGCAGCAAAAAGUAGUUUGUGCGCAGCAGCAGCAGCAGCAGCAGCAGCCUUUAUACGAGAGCGCUUUAUAUUUUAAGGUGGACAUAUAUUGUCACCUGUGCGUUGGCAUGAUGCAAUUUGUGAAAAUGCGCAGGAUUUAUGGAGGCUGAGCGGGACUCGCAGGUUUCUUGCAGCGCCGGUCAUCUAUUGGCCAAAUCACUUAUUCAAAGUGUGCUAAGUUUUUCCAUGAGGUUUUUCUGUAAAUUAAUAAAAUUCUUACUCUGGGCUGAGCGGAGCGAGCAACACUGGGCUGAUAUAUAUUUAUAUAUAAAGGAACUUUAUGUUAGGCCAUCUGGAAAAUGCAGGUUUUUAAAGAGGGUGAGUAAAACUUAAGCGCUGCUACGGGACACAAUUCAGCUAAUUGUAAACAGCUGCAGGUGAUAUCACCCUUCAGAGUACAAGACAAAGCAGGGGCAGAAAAAAAAAAAAAAAACAAAGCUCAGGAUUUAAAGGAACACUGCAAUCCUGCCUGACCUACUGAGGAAAAUAUAAAGUGUCUUUUUUAACAAUAAAUGACACCAAUUUAGUUUGUCCUCAAGUGACAGUUUUUUUCUCUCUCUCUCUUUUUUUUUUUUAACUCCCUUCCUGUGAAUAGUCAUGCGUUUGCACUGCAGCAUCCUACAGGCAAAACCCCCACUGCAAAGCCCAUUAGAAUCAAAUGAAUGUCAGAUUCGGCUAAGUGUUUGCACAUGACAAACAUCUAACAUGGCUAAUUGCUGAUAAGUGUCAGGGUGAAAUGUGUUUUGAGGUUAGGAUGGUGCAAAAUGGCGUCUACUGUAGUGCAGUUGUAAUCUUUUCUUUUUUUUUUUUUUUUUUAUUGUUCAUUUUGCAA
Salarias fasciatus (jewelled blenny) is the source of this 1295-nucleotide long non-coding RNA. RefSeq lists it as uncharacterized. Lineage: Eukaryota; Metazoa; Chordata; Actinopteri; Blenniiformes; Blenniidae. The transcript is spliced from 3 exons. The record is from RefSeq and is a predicted model, not a curated record.